Molecule: ribosomal RNA, 253 nt
Filed under: uncultured bacterium
Lineage: Bacteria
Description: partial 16S ribosomal RNA
Rfam family: Bacterial small subunit ribosomal RNA
Source: RNAcentral
GACGGGGGGAGCAAGCGUUGUUCGGAUUUACUGGGCGUAAAGGGCGCGUAGGCGGCGUGACAAGUCACUUGUGAAAUCUCCGGGCUUAACUCGGAGCGGUCAAGUGAUACUGUCGUGCUAGAGUGCGGAAGGGGCUACUGGAAUUCUCGGUGUAGCGGUGAAAUGCGUAGAUAUCGAGAGGAACACCUGCGGCGAAGGCGGGUAGCUGGGCCGACACUGACGCUGAUGCGCGAAAGCCAGGGGAGCGAACGGG